Molecule: ribosomal RNA, 817 nt
Filed under: Cellulomonas sp. 01xTSA28B_D02
Lineage: Bacteria; Bacillati; Actinomycetota; Actinomycetes; Micrococcales; Cellulomonadaceae
Description: bacterial SSU rRNA
Rfam family: Bacterial small subunit ribosomal RNA
Source: RNAcentral
GAUGGCCAGCUUGCUGGUCUGAUCAGUGGCGAACGGGUGAGUAACACGUGAGCAACCUACCCCAGACUCUGGAAUAACCAUGGGAAACGAUGGCUAAUACCGGAUACGAGACGCACACGCAUGUGUGGUGUCUGGAAAGAUUUAUCGGUCUGGGAUGGGCUCGCGGCCUAUCAGCUUGUUGGUGGGGUAGUGGCCUACCAAGGCGACGACGGGUAGCCGGCCUGAGAGGGCGACCGGCCACACUGGGACUGAGAUACGGCCCAGACUCCUACGGGAGGCAGCAGUGGGGAAUAUUGCACAAUGGGCGCAAGCCUGAUGCAGCGACGCCGCGUGAGGGAUGACGGCCUUCGGGUUGUAAACCUCUUUCAGCAGGGAAGAAGCGCAAGUGACGGUACCUGCAGAAGAAGCGCCGGCUAACUACGUGCCAGCAGCCGCGGUAAUACGUAGGGCGCAAGCGUUGUCCGGAAUUAUUGGGCGUAAAGAGCUCGUAGGCGGUUUGUCGCGUCUGCUGUGAAAACCUAAGGCUCAACCUUGGGCUUGCAGUGGGUACGGGCAGACUAGAGUGCGGUAGGGGUGACUGGAAUUCCUGGUGUAGCGGUGGAAUGCGCAGAUAUCAGGAGGAACACCGAUGGCGAAGGCAGGUCACUGGGCCGCAACUGACGCUGAGGAGCGAAAGCAUGGGGAGCGAACAGGAUUAGAUACCCUGGUAGUCCAUGCCGUAAACGUUGGGCACUAGGUGUGGGGCUCAUUCCACGAGUUCCGUGCCGCAGCAAACGCAUUAAGUGCCCCGCCUGGGGAGUACGGCCGCAAGGCUAAA